Molecule: long non-coding RNA, 4870 nt
Filed under: Zea mays
Lineage: Eukaryota; Viridiplantae; Streptophyta; Magnoliopsida; Poales; Poaceae
Description: long non-coding RNA (ZMAY_LNC004413)
Source: RNAcentral
AAAUGGUCACUUAGACCAAGUGAGCUUUCUCCUUAUCAAACGGGUCACUUAGACCCUUCAAGGACCACCACACACUUGGUAUCUCUUGCUUUGAUUACAAGUCACUUGAGAAUAAGAAUGGGAAAAGAAGAAAGCACGAUUGCAAAAGCCAAGCGACAAGAGCGACAAAUAUCACACAGAUCACUCUCUCUCUCUCAAGUCACUAAUCACUAAUGAUCACUUGUCUCAAUUGUGGAACUUGGAGAGAUUGGAAGCUUUGAUUGUGUCUUUGAAUGGAUUGCUAGCUCUUGUAUUGAAUGUGAAGGAUUGGAGUGCUUGGAUGUUGUAAAUGGAGGUGGUUGGGGUUGUAUUUAUACCCCCAACCACUUCCUAGUCGUUGCUCCUUUCUGUCGACCGCGGACGGUCCACGCCCCUGGUCCGGACGGUCCGCCCCUGCACAUCAACAACUAAAAUCGCAACGGUCAACAGUAACGGCUAUAUCAAUGGCUACUAUGCAUUAAAUGCGUCGUCAGAUGUCAGAUAAAGCAGUCGCGGACGGUCCGGUCGUGCACCCCGGACAGUCCGCGAGGACGCUAAAAAUACAUUUUACCGAACCCGUCACCUUCGGGUUUUUCUGGUUUUCACCGACCGGACGGUCCGCGCCUGAGGCCGGACGGUCCGCGCUUGGUCUGGGACGGUGCUCGCUUCUCCAUCGGACGGUCCAUAGUGUAGACUUGUGUAUUUACAGUGUUUCUGUCCGAGGGUCACCUUGGUGCCGCGGAUGGUCCGCCGCAAGGGCCCGGACGGUCCGCGCUUAGGUGUUUUUCAAAAAAGCUUCUCCUGUCCGAAAUAAUCUACGGUAUUCCGGACAGUCGAUUUAGAAUAGUUGUAGAUAAACUUGUGCACCUGUGAAAUGAUCAACUAGGCAAAUUGGUUAGUCCACAAGGUUUGUGAUGGUCGUAAAACACCAAAAUCGCUUAUAGGAAAUGUUGAGACUAUUUCCCUUUCAAACCCUAACCCUAACCCUAAUCUUGUAUUCCUGUUGUAGUCGUUGAGGAACCGGGACUCCAACGUGGGUCGUUGGCCGUCUCCGACAAUGAAAAUAUUGAGAUUGACGACAACGAGGAGAGGCGGUUGUGCGGGUUGGCCAAAGAUGACGACGAGGAACUGCAAUAUCUUUUUUAAACUCCAUCAUUUUGAUAGUUAAAGAGGCCCUAGAUGCUCUUAAGAAUUUGAUUGAAACAUUUAGAACUGCAAUAUCUUUUUUAAACUCUUCUAAUCAUAGAAUUGCUGCAUAUAAAAGUUAUUGCAUUGAUACUAAUAUUAGGCCUAGAAAAUUCUAGUUGGACAUGGAGGUUAGGUGGAACUCUACAUAUCUCAUGCUUAAGCAUUUGUUUCCUCACAGGGUCCCUUUCACUACUUUCAUUCAUGCCAACUAUCCUAUGGCUGAAGGUGAUCAAUUUAUUUUAACUGAUGGUCAUUGGGUUAUUGGAGAGAAAGUACUUAAAUUUCUUGAGCUCUUUUAUGAUUCUACAGUUGCAUUGCCUGGUGUUUAUUAUCCUACAUCUCCACUUAUGUACAUCUAAAAAACUAUGCUAAUGACACUCACAUCAGACGUGUGAUUCAACCUAUGAUAGACAAAUAUAAUAAAUAUUGGAGGAACAUACCUUUACUUUACUUUUUUGCAUUCAUCUUGGACCCUAGAGCUAAAAUAAAAGGUUUCAGUAGAGUGCUUAGAAGGUUGAUGAACCUGACCAGUACAGAUUAUGCUGCUUAUCAGGUUACCACUAGAGCUAGGCUUAAUGAUGUUUAUAAUAAGUUUGAAUAGAAAUAUGGAUCUGUUAGGUUGAGAAGGGCUAUCCCUCCUAACUUAUAUGGUAAGAAAAGAUCUGCUUGGGAUGAAAUAUAUGAUGAUGCUGAUGAUGUGGGUGAUUUUGUUGUAUGCAUUCUUUUGCUUCUACUAUAAACAUUGCUAGAGAUACCUCUGCAACUGCUCUGUUGCAUGCUGCAAACUCUUCAGCUUCUAAUGCUUCCGAACUCAUUUCUUACUUAGAUUGUGACACUGUAAACCAGUUAACUGAUGAUUUCAACAUCUUGCAUGGGUGGCAUCAACACAAACUCACUUAUCCAGUACUGUCAAUUGUGGCUAAAGAUAUUUUAACUGUUCAUGUGUCUACCAUCUCUUUAGAAUCCACUUUUAGUUUAACUGGCAGGAUCAUCGACGAGUGGAGGAGGUUGAAGUCUGAUGUGGUUGAGAUGUUGACAUGCAUUAAAGUUUGGGAGGAUGUUCAAGCAAGGAUGCAACACAUGGUGGAUGACAAAGAGCUUGAAGAAACAUUUGAAAAUCUUUAUCUUGAUUAGUCUCUUUGUGACCAUUUGUGUAAUGAGACUGUAAUAUUAUGCACGUGGACUUUGAUUGAUGUAAGAACAAUGAACUUUUGAAUGAGCUAGGUUGUACUCUUUUUUCCUGUCUAGGGUUUCUCACAAGGGUGAGUUUUACUAGACAGGGUUUUAACGAGGCGGCCAUUGCACUACAACUCAUAAUAAAAUUGUUUUCAUAAAUAUAGCAGCUUGAAGUUGUAUUUCUUAUCUGUUUUCAGACUUAGUGCACGUGUUGGCACUAGCAGUAACAUGCCACCGUGCUAGGAAACGGCUGUAUUAAGCAAACCACUCAACCGCUAAUGGAAAUAUAUUUACACUGACGGUUCCUUAAGGCGGGUACGUCUAUUUAUUUUCACUAGCGCGUGGUAACUGAAAUCGUCAGUAUAAAUUUCUGUGUGCCACCAGUUUAGAGCUCUUUUAUACUAGUGGAAAGAAAACAGCCAAAAUUAGUGCGAUCGGCUCAGGCUACGAGCAUUUGGCUAGACAUGGUAGACCUGGAAGAAUUUGAUCGUGUGGCUAGACUUGGUAGACAUGCUGACCGUGGACUGGCUGGAUGUAGCCACUUUGGUCUGUUUGGUUAUUACUGGUCCGAGAGGAUGCAGUAACCGAGCUAUCUAGGUGGCUUAAAGUUGAUUUGGACCUUGUUCGUUUGUGUCGGAUUGCACCCGGAAUCGUUCCACCUAAUCAAAAUUUAUAUAAAUUAGAGAAGCAAUCCGGUUAGAAAUCGUUCCGACCCACCAACCCGACAGAAACGAACAAGUUAUUAGUGUACUUUCUCUAUACAAAUUUUGGCUAGAUUAUUCUUUGCACGCUGGUGUGAAUUAAUUCGGUUUGAUCAAUUUUUAUUCGCCCCUCGACAAUUUUUGGUUGGACCCAUUUGAGGAUCAGACUAGGUCGCAUCAAUUCAAUUAAGAUCCUGUUUGUUUCCUUUCAUUUUGAGGAAUUGAAAUCUUACUAAUGGAAUAGACUAUUUUUUUAGAAUGUGACAUUCCACCACUUUCCACCAGUGAGCCCGUCGACGACUUCACCUUUGUGUGCGCGCACACGGACAUGGGCGAACCUGUCGGGGUGGCAGGGUUAGGGUUCGGCCAUGGCCCGCUCUCACUGCCGGACCACCUCUCCCCGCAGAUCUCUGGUGAGCUCCAACCAGACCUCGACCCUUGCGGCGUCUACCGCGACGGUGUCCAACACCACCGAGUCGAAGCUCCCUCUGCCGAGGAGGACCCACAGCCGCAGGUAGAGGUGGUGGAGUCAACCGAGUUGGAGUCCGCGCAUCCUCCUCUCGCCGUCUACGACAACUACAUCGAGCACGACCUCUACAGCUUCAUCCCGCUGCUCUUCUGCACCGAGCAAACCAAAGAGGAGGAGGUACUCGUCGAAGAUCCCUAUGCAGAGGAGGACCUGCAACCGCAAGCGGAGGUGGUGGAGUCGUUCGAGUCGGAGUCCGCUCCUCCCGUCGUCUACGACCGCUACGACGAGCCGAACCACGACGAGAUUGCCGAGGUGCUCGCGCUACUAGAGUACAACAAGGGGACUUCGUCGGCCACAGUCCUCGUCGACUAUACCACCACCAGCAAGUCGCCUACCAAGUGUUCGACGAUGGAUUUCUCCGACGCCGACAGCGCCGCCUACGAUGAGCCCAGCUUCCACUGCUUCAUUCCGCCACCCUUCCGUGCCGGGAAAACCAACGAGGAAGAGGAUUCCUCUGCCGAGGAGGCCAUGGCGGCGAUGGAAGCGACCGCCUCGCCAUCCCCUUUCCUUCUCACCAUGGGGAAUCUGCUACUGCUCUACCUCGCGCUACCACCGAAGCAUGCUGCGGUGGUGGACGAGCUGCUGCCGUACCGUGAUGCUAUUAGCCCACCGCCUCCUCUUCUCGUCGACGACGACUCGGACCACUACUGCUGGCAGCGGCAUGUGGACAUGACCACGUCACGACGAGCGUACGAGGUUGACGCGGACCACCCGGGCUCCGAGGUCGCAGCCGUCAUGGCUGCCGCGACCGCCGUGUUCCACUGGGCUGGGGACGCGCACUACGCGCACCUACUGCUCCACCAUGUGCAGCAGCUGUUCGACUUCGCCAACACCUACUGGGGACGCUACGACGCCGCGCUGCAGGUGCUCGAUCUACACCCCAACCACGGGCUCGUUACCUCCUUCCACACCAUCAGGCUGCUGCUCUCCACCGAGUAUUACAUCUCCACGAUGCUCACCGAUGUAGCCCGUGUCAGCCUCAUGGUGACGGUGGCAAGCCAACCUGCAUCUACUUCAGUUGAUGCUCAAGGGAUGUUUGAUGAAAUGCAGCAAAGUGAUACCUCUGUUGCCAUCGCACAUACUGCCUUCAACACGGAGGAGCUAGAUAGGUGGCUUGAAAGCUGCGAUGAACAGGGUGAAUCAAUUGGAGUCAACAAGAUCCAUGUGCAGCCUCAGUUCUUUGAUGUGGGCAAGGACUAUAACUGGGCGAGGGGCAUCCGGAGCACCGAGAUCCAGCUCGCUGAUGGCAAGUGUUGAA